AACGAACGCUGGCGGCGUGGAUAAGACAUGCAAGUCGAACGAGAACUUUUCCUAUAGCAAUACAGGGAAAGUUUAGUGGCGAACGGGUGCGUAACACGUGGGCAAUCUGCCGAAAAGUGGGGGAUAGCUCGCCGAAAGGCGAAUUAAUACCGCAUGUGGUGAGGGGGGACAUCUUCCUGAAUCCAAAGCCGGGGCGACCUGGCGCUUUUUUGAGGAGCCCGCGGCCUAUCAGCUAGUUGGGAGGUAACGGCUCACCAAGGCUUUGACGGGUAGCUGGUCUGAGAGGACGACCAGUCACACUGGAACUGAGACACGGUCCAGACACCUACGGGUGGCAGCAGUCGAGAAUUUUUCUCAAUGGGGGCAACCCUGAAGGAGCGACG
Molecule: ribosomal RNA, 383 nt
Filed under: uncultured bacterium
Lineage: Bacteria
Description: bacterial SSU rRNA
Rfam family: Bacterial small subunit ribosomal RNA
Source: RNAcentral